Molecule: ribosomal RNA, 1528 nt
Filed under: Klebsiella pneumoniae
Lineage: Bacteria; Pseudomonadati; Pseudomonadota; Gammaproteobacteria; Enterobacterales; Enterobacteriaceae
Description: partial 16S ribosomal RNA
Rfam family: Bacterial small subunit ribosomal RNA
Source: RNAcentral
AUUGGGGCCCGGAGCCCUUUUUUAUUUAAGUCUCCCCCCCCCCUAAACAAAAAGGCUGACUGGGCGGCAGGCUACACACUAAAGGCGAGCGGAAGCACAGAGAACUUGCUCUCGGGUGAAAAAGCGGCGGAAGGGGUAAAUAAUGUCUGGGAAACUCCCUGAUGGAGGGGGGGAAAACUACGGGAAACGGUAGCUUAAUACCGGCAAAAUGUCGCCAAGACCAAAAUGGGGGACCUUCGGGCCUUCAAGCCAUUCAGAUGUGGCCCAGAUGGGAUUAGCUAGUAGGUGGGGUAACGGCUCACCUAGGCGACGAUCCCUAGCUGGUCUGAGAGGAUGACCAGCCACACUGGAACUGAGACACGGUCCAGACUCCUACGGGAGGCAGCAGUGGGGAAUAUUGCACAAUGGGCGCAAGCCUGAUGCAGCCAUGCCGCGUGUGUGAAGAAGGCCUUCGGGUUGUAAAGCACUUUCAGCGGGGAGGAAGGCGUUAAGGUUAAUAACCUUGGCGAUUGACGUUACCCGCAGAAGAAGCACCGGCUAACUCCGUGCCAGCAGCCGCGGUAAUACGGAGGGUGCAAGCGUUAAUCGGAAUUACUGGGCGUAAAGCGCACGCAGGCGGUCUGUCAAGUCGGAUGUGAAAUCCCCGGGCUCAACCUGGGAACUGCAUUCGAAACUGGCAGGCUAGAGUCUUGUAGAGGGGGGUAGAAUUCCAGGUGUAGCGGUGAAAUGCGUAGAGAUCUGGAGGAAUACCGGUGGCGAAGGCGGCCCCCUGGACAAAGACUGACGCUCAGGUGCGAAAGCGUGGGGAGCAAACAGGAUUAGAUACCCUGGUAGUCCACGCCGUAAACGAUGUCGAUUUGGAGGUUGUGCCCUUGAGGCGUGGCUUCCGGAGCUAACGCGUUAAAUCGACCGCCUGGGGAGUACGGCCGCAAGGUUAAAACUCAAAUGAAUUGACGGGGGCCCGCACAAGCGGUGGAGCAUGUGGUUUAAUUCGAUGCAACGCGAAGAACCUUACCUGGUCUUGACAUCCACAGAACUUACCAGAAAUGCUUUGGUGCCUUCGGGAACUGUGAAACAGGUGCUGCAUGGCUGUCGUCACCUCGUGUUGUGAAAUGUUGGGUUAAGUCCCCCAACCAGCGCAACCCUUAUCCUUUGUUGCCACCGGUUCCGCCCGGAAACUCAAAGGAAACUGCCAGUGAUAAACUGGAAGAAAGGUGGGGAAUAACCUCAAGUCAUCAUGGCCCUUACAACCAGGGCUACACACCUGCCUACAAUGGCCAUAUACAAAAAAAAACCCACCCCCCCAAAACCAACCGAACCUCAAAAAAUAUGUCCUAAUCCCGAAUUGGAAUCCCCAACUCCACUCCAUGAAAUCCGAAAUCCCUAGUAAACCCGAAGACCAGAAUGCCACGGAGAAAACGUUCCCGGGCCUUGUAAACACCCCCCCCUCACACCAUGGGGAAUGGGUUGUCAAAAAAAAUAGGUAGCUUAACCUUCGGGAGGGCGCUUACCACUUGGAUCAUUAUUU